Long non-coding RNA from Nanorana parkeri, 135 nucleotides. RefSeq lists it as uncharacterized. NCBI's taxonomy places the organism in Eukaryota, Metazoa, Chordata, Amphibia, Anura, Dicroglossidae. The record is from RefSeq and is a predicted model, not a curated record. The transcript has 3 exons.
UGCGUAUCUGACCGUCCCGAGGUUUGUAGCCACCUUAUCUGAAAUAACAUACAUUGGUAGGGUAGGUUGAAGAGUGUACCCCUUAACUUUUUUUUUGCUACAAGGGUUUUAUUUUUAUUUUAUUACUAUACAGGA